Molecule: transfer RNA, 73 nt
Filed under: Nelumbo nucifera (sacred lotus)
Lineage: Eukaryota; Viridiplantae; Streptophyta; Magnoliopsida; Proteales; Nelumbonaceae
Rfam family: tRNA
About the family: Transfer RNA (tRNA) molecules are approximately 80 nucleotides in length. Their secondary structure includes four short double-helical elements and three loops (D, anti-codon, and T loops). Further hydrogen bonds mediate the characteristic L-shaped molecular structure. tRNAs have two regions of fundamental functional importance: the anti-codon, which is responsible for specific mRNA codon recognition, and the 3' end, to which the tRNAs corresponding amino acid is attached (by aminoacyl-tRNA synthetases). tRNAs cope with the degeneracy of the genetic code in two manners: having more than one tRNA (with a specific anti-codon) for a particular amino acid; and 'wobble' base-pairing, i.e. permitting non-standard base-pairing at the 3rd anti-codon position.
Source: Rfam by way of RNAcentral
UCCAUUGUAGUUUAGUUGGUUUGGAUGCUCUUCUCUCACUUGAGAGACCUGGGUUUGAGUCAUGGCAAUGGAA